UAGAUAUAGUUUUUAAGUAAAAUACAAAAUCGGAAGGCAAAAGGAACAAAAACCAUUAACUUUUUUCUAAUGAAAUUACUAAUGUUAAUAGUUCUAAUAACGACGACACAGAAGGUCUGUGCAAUGAAACCUUAAAUUAGAGAGAAAAAAUUGGAUGUUUAUUGUAAAAUAUAGUGAAGUACCCUUUCAUUCGAUAAACUAUAUAAGCGGGAAGGUGAUCAUAAUAAUCCAAAUUGGUGAUAAUUACUCAAUUCGUAAUAUUUCGGGAGAAUUCAGUCCACAAUAUUGCGGGUUCAACAACUACUCACGCUCGAAAAUCACAGCGUUUAAGUUCUGAAUCCGCCACUAGUAUUAGCUGAACCGUAUGUACUAUAUAUGCUCAGAUAAAUCUAAGUUUAACUUUCUUUUGACUUAUUUUUUUCUUUUUUCUUUUUGUGGGUGAAGCAUCAAAAGAUAAAAGGAGGAGGGAAGAGCAUUGUCGACAAACCUUUUGUGUAAAGGGGGGCAUGCAUGUUUUUGGUACCAUGGCCACCUUAAUAAUUCACGUAGCUAGCAUCUUGUGUUGCUUGCAUGUUCCGUCAAUAUAAUUACAUACAAUGAAAUAUAUCUAUUUCUGUGCAAUUCAAAUUCAACUUUAAUUUCAAUAAUCAUGACUUCUCCCAUUAAAGCUAAUCAAUCAAUCACAACCCUAGUCAGUCUCCUUUCUUGCAAAUUUCCUUCCGUUUGUCUAUAGAUUCCUUGUUUACAUUCUUAUGCUUCGAAUAACAGUACGGAAAUUAAG
RNAcentral lists this long non-coding RNA (781 nucleotides) under Nicotiana benthamiana. RNAcentral describes it as "long non-coding RNA (NBEN_LNC037957)". Lineage: Eukaryota; Viridiplantae; Streptophyta; Magnoliopsida; Solanales; Solanaceae. The record is from RNAcentral.